This 484-nucleotide ribosomal RNA is filed under the name Frederiksenia canicola. RNAcentral describes it as "bacterial SSU rRNA". It matches the Rfam family "Bacterial small subunit ribosomal RNA", at positions 108 to 588 of the family's 1533-position model. The record is from RNAcentral. Lineage: Bacteria; Pseudomonadati; Pseudomonadota; Gammaproteobacteria; Pasteurellales; Pasteurellaceae.
GAGUAAUGCUUGGGAAUCUGGCUUAUGGAGGGGGAUAACUACUGGAAACGGUAGCUAAUACCGCGUAAUAUCGAGAGAUUAAAGACUGGGACCUACGGGCCAGUUGCCAUAAGAUGAGCCCAAGUGGGAUUAGGUAGUUGGUGGGGUAAAGGCCUACCAAGCCUGCGAUCUCUAGCUGGUCUGAGAGGAUGACCAGCCACACUGGAACUGAGACACGGUCCAGACUCCUACGGGAGGCAGCAGUGGGGAAUAUUGCACAAUGGGGGGAACCCUGAUGCAGCCAUGCCGCGUGAAUGAAGAAGGCCUUCGGGUUGUAAAGUUCUUUCGGUGGUGAGGAAGGUAUCAACUUUAAUAGAGUUGGUAAUUGACGUUAUCCACAGAAGAAGCACCGGCUAACUCCGUGCCAGCAGCCGCGGUAAUACGGAGGGUGCGAGCGUUAAUCGGAAUGACUGGGCGUAAAGGGCACGCAGGCGGAUGCUUAAGU